RNAcentral lists this ribosomal RNA (465 nucleotides) under uncultured bacterium. Its description in RNAcentral is "bacterial SSU rRNA". It matches the Rfam family "Bacterial small subunit ribosomal RNA", at positions 28 to 507 of the family's 1533-position model. The record is from RNAcentral.
GAUGAACGCUGGCGGCGUGCAUAACACAUUCAAGUCGAACGGUGACGAGGACUUCGGGUCCUCUGAUCAGUGGCGGACGGGUGAGUAACGCGUGAGCAACCUGCCCUAUAUUGCGGGAUAACAACCGGAAACAGUUGCUAAUACCGCAUGACGUAUUCGGAUCGCAUGUUCUGAAUACCAAAGAAUUUUGAUAUAGGAUGGGCUCGCGUCCGAUUAGGCAGUUGGUGGGGUAACGGCCCACCAAACCGACGAUCGGUAGCCGAACUGAGAGGUUGAACGGCCACAUUGGAACUGAGAUACGGUCCAGACUCCUACGGGAGGCAGCAGUGGGGAAUAUUGGGCAAUGGGCGAAAGCCUGACCCAGCGACGCCGCGUGAGGGAAGAAGGUCUUCGGAUUGUAAACCUCUUUCAGCAGGGAAGAAGCAAGUGACGGUACCUGCAGAAGAAGUCACGGCUAACUACGUG